UGCAGUCGAGGGGCAGCAGGUUUGUAGCAAUACAGAUGCUGGCGACCGGCAAACGGGUGCGGAACACGUACACAACCUUCCUUUAAGUGGGGAAUAGCCCAGAGAAAUUUGGAUUAAUACCCCGUAACAUUAUGAUGUGGCAUCACAUUAUAAUUAUAGCUCCGGCGCUUAAUGAUGGGUGUGCGGCUGAUUAGAUAGUUGGCGGGGUAACGGCCCACCAAGUCUGCGAUCAGUAACUGGUGUGAGAGCACGACCAGUCACACGGGCACUGAGACACGGGCCCGACUCCUACGGGAGGCAGCAGUAAGGAAUAUUGGUCAAUGGACGCAAGUCUGAACCAGCCAUGCCGCGUGGAGGAUGAAGGUCCUCUGGAUUGUAAACUUCUUUUAUAUGGGACGAAAAAGGGCCUUUCCAGGUCAACUGACGGUACCAUAUGAAUAAGCACCGGCUAACUCCGUGCCAGCAGCCGCGGUAAUACGGAGGGUGCAAGCGUUAUCCGGAUUCACUGGGUUUAAAGGGUGCGUAGGUGGGUUGGUAAGUCAGUGGUGAAAUCUCCGGGCUUAACCCGGAAACUGCCAUUGAUACUAUCAGUCUUGAAUAUUGUGGAGGUCAGCGGAAUAUGUCAUGUAGCGGUGAAAUGCUUAGAUAUGACAUAGAACACCAAUUGCGAAGGCAGCUGGCUACGCAUAUAUUGACACUGAGGCACGAAAGCGUGGGGAUCAAACAGGAUUAGAUACCCUGGUAGUCCACGCCCUAAACUAUGGAUACUCGACAUACGCGAUACACUGUGUGUGUCUGAGCGAAAGCAUUAAGUAUCCCACC
Molecule: ribosomal RNA, 822 nt
Filed under: uncultured microorganism
Description: bacterial SSU rRNA
Rfam family: Bacterial small subunit ribosomal RNA
Source: RNAcentral